UACGAAGGGGGCGAGCGUUGUUCGGAUUUACUGGGCGUAAAGGGCGCGUAGGCGGCCCUCCUUGUCGCGUGUGAAAGCCCCGGGCUCAACCUGGGAACGGCGCGCGAGACGGGGGGGCUGGAGUUCGGGAGAGGAGCGUGGAAUUCCCAGUGUAGAGGUGAAAUUCGUAGAUAUUGGGAAGAACACCGGUGGCGAAGGCGGCACUCUGGACAGUGACUGACGCUGAGACGCGAAAGCGUGGGGAGCAAACAGG
RNAcentral lists this ribosomal RNA (253 nucleotides) under uncultured bacterium. Its description in RNAcentral is "partial 16S ribosomal RNA". It matches the Rfam family "Bacterial small subunit ribosomal RNA", at positions 524 to 776 of the family's 1533-position model. The record is from RNAcentral.